This 468-nucleotide ribosomal RNA is filed under the name uncultured bacterium. RNAcentral describes it as "partial 16S ribosomal RNA". It matches the Rfam family "Bacterial small subunit ribosomal RNA", at positions 28 to 507 of the family's 1533-position model. The record is from RNAcentral.
GACGAACGCUGGCGGCGUGCUUAACACAUGCAAGUCGAACGGAAAGGCCCUGCUUUUGUGGGGUGCUCGAGUGGCGAACGGGUGAGUAACACGUGAGUAACCUGCCCUUGACUUUGGGAUAACUUCAGGAAACUGGGGCUAAUACCGGAUAGGAGCUCCUGCGGCAUGGUGGGGGUGGGAAAGUUUCGGCGGUUGGGGAUGGACUCGCGGCUUAUCAGCUUGUUGGUGGGGUAGUGGCUUACCAAGGCUUUGACGGGUAGCCGGCCUGAAAGGGUGACCGGCCACAUUGGGACUGAGAUACGGCCCAGACUCCUACGGGAGGCAGCAGUGGGGAAUAUUGCACAAUGGGCGGAAGCCUGAUGCAGCAACGCCGCGUGCGGGAUGACGGCCUUCGGGUUGUAAACCGCUUUCGCCUGUGACGAAGCGUGAGUGACGGUAAUGGGUAAAGAAGCACCGGCUAACUACGUG